RNAcentral lists this ribosomal RNA (460 nucleotides) under uncultured bacterium. Its description in RNAcentral is "partial 16S ribosomal RNA". It matches the Rfam family "Bacterial small subunit ribosomal RNA", at positions 338 to 795 of the family's 1533-position model. The record is from RNAcentral.
CCUACGGGAGGCAGCAGUGAGGAAUAUUGGUCAAUGGACGAGAGUCUGAACCAGCCAAGUAGCGUGAAGGAUGACUGCCCUAUGGGUUGUAAACUUCUUUUAUAUGGGAAUAAAAUGUUCCACGUGUGGGAUUUUGUAUGUACCAUAUGAAUAAGGAUCAGCUAACUCCGUGCCAGCAGCCGCGGUAACACGGAGGAUCCGAGCGUUAUCCGGAUUUAUUGGGUUUAAAGGGAGCGUAGGUGGAUUGUUAAGUCAGUUGUGAAAGUUUGCGGCUCAACCGUAAAAUUGCAGUUGAAACUGGCAGUCUUGAGUACAGUAGAGGUGGGCGGAAUUCGUGGUGUAGCGGUGAAAUGCUUAGAUAUCACGAAGAACUCCGAUUGCGAAGGCAGUUCACUGGACUGCAACUGACACUGAGGCUCGAAAGUGUGGGUAUCAAACAGGAUUAGAUACCCGUGUAGUC